AUGAUCUGCUUCAAUUGUAGUUGGCCUGGUCACUACGUGGGGAAUUGUGUGGAGCCAAAAAAAUGCUUUAUCUGUGCUGGAAAUCAUAAUGUCAACAAUUGCGCAGCUUGGGCAAAACCUCAACCUACUGCUACUUACUUUGGUAGUGGAGCUUCGGGACUGGGUUUCUAUCAUAUUGAGGUCCCUAUAGCGGCCGAAUCUAGC
Molecule: ribosomal RNA, 204 nt
Filed under: Triticum aestivum (bread wheat)
Lineage: Eukaryota; Viridiplantae; Streptophyta; Magnoliopsida; Poales; Poaceae
Description: partial small subunit ribosomal RNA
Source: RNAcentral